Molecule: transfer RNA, 101 nt
Filed under: Acetohalobium arabaticum DSM 5501
Lineage: Bacteria; Bacillati; Bacillota; Clostridia; Halanaerobiales; Halobacteroidaceae
Also listed under: 1 other name
Description: tRNA-SeC (TCA) (tRNA-SeC-TCA-1-1)
Rfam family: Selenocysteine transfer RNA
Source: RNAcentral
GGGAAUGGCUGUGCCCCUGGUGGGCACCCCGGACUUCAAAUCCGGCGGCGGGCCAGCCUUGAGCUGUCCGCGGUAGGUUCGAUUCCUACACAUUCCCGCCA